Molecule: non-coding RNA, 24 nt
Filed under: Mus musculus (house mouse)
Lineage: Eukaryota; Metazoa; Chordata; Mammalia; Rodentia; Muridae
Source: RNAcentral
UGUUGGACUCCAGCAAGUUGCCUC